CCUACGGGUGGCAGCAGUGAGGAAUAUUGGUCAAUGGGCGAGAGCCUGAACCAGCCAAGCCGCGUGAGGGAGGACGGUACUGUGUAUUGUAAACCUCUUUUGUCGGGGAACAAAAGCGGGGACGUGUCCCCGGAUGAGUGUACCUGAAGAAAAAGCAUCGGCUAACUCCGUGCCAGCAGCCGCGGUAAUACGGAGGAUGCGAGCGUUAUCCGGAUUUAUUGGGUUUAAAGGGUGCGUAGGCGGUCUGUUAAGUCAGCGGUCAAAGUGCGUGGCUCACCCCCGGCCCGCCGUUGAAACUGGCAGUCUCUAGUUGGAGAGAAGUACGCGGAAUGCGCGGUGUAGCGGUGAAAUGCAUAGAUAUCGCGCAGAACUCCGAUUGCGAAGGCAGCGUACCGGCUCCACACUGACGCUGAGGCACGAAAGCGUGGGUAUCGAACAGGAUUAGAUACCCUUGUAGUC
This 459-nucleotide ribosomal RNA is filed under the name uncultured bacterium. Its description in RNAcentral is "partial 16S ribosomal RNA". It matches the Rfam family "Bacterial small subunit ribosomal RNA", at positions 338 to 795 of the family's 1533-position model. The record is from RNAcentral.